UACGAAGGGGGCAAGCGUUGAUCGGAAUUACUGGGCGUAAAGCGCACGUAGGCGGCCGUGUAAGUCGGGGGUGAAAGCCCCGGGCUCAACCCGGGAACUGCCUUCAUUACUGCAAAGCUAGAGGAUGCGAGAGGUUAGCGGAAUUCCCGGUGUAGAGGUGAAAUUCGUAGAUAUUCGGAAGAACACCAGUGGCGAAGGCGGCCACCUGGCCCAUUACUGACGCUGAGGUGCGAAAGCGUGGGGAGCAAACAGG
This 253-nucleotide ribosomal RNA is filed under the name uncultured bacterium. Its description in RNAcentral is "partial 16S ribosomal RNA". It matches the Rfam family "Bacterial small subunit ribosomal RNA", at positions 524 to 776 of the family's 1533-position model. The record is from RNAcentral.